Long non-coding RNA from Malurus melanocephalus (red-backed fairy wren), 284 nucleotides. RefSeq lists it as uncharacterized. The transcript is spliced from 3 exons. NCBI's taxonomy places the organism in Eukaryota, Metazoa, Chordata, Aves, Passeriformes, Maluridae. The record is from RefSeq and is a predicted model, not a curated record.
UCCCGCUCCUUAUCCCCUCCCCUCCUCACCCCCCUCCCCUUCCCCUCGCAUCCUUGGAAGCAACAAUUAAGCAGCUCUGGGAUAAAACACACAGCCCGCGGGAGCACGGGGGCAUUGCUUCAAGAGAUGGCAAGGCAGGCAGCUGCACCCCUCCUCCCCGGAGUCCUCCUCCUCCUCUCCAUCCUCCCGGCUACUCAGCAAGGAGGGGUCCCUGGUGCUAUCCCCGGAGGAGUCCCCGGAGCAGGCUUCUUCCCAGGUGCUGGACUCGGAGGUUUGGGAGCAGG